Molecule: ribozyme, 70 nt
Filed under: unclassified sequences
Description: HDV ribozyme from F. prausnitzii
Rfam family: HDV ribozyme from F. prausnitzii
Source: RNAcentral
GCUACUCGUAAUAAUAACCUCUCCGUGGUGAGAAGUAGGCAACGAUCUUAUGAUCGGCGAAGAUGUGAUA